This 689-nucleotide ribosomal RNA is filed under the name Echinococcus felidis. RNAcentral describes it as "small subunit ribosomal RNA". Lineage: Eukaryota; Metazoa; Platyhelminthes; Cestoda; Cyclophyllidea; Taeniidae. The record is from RNAcentral.
AUUUGUUUAACUGUGGCAAUAGGAAGUUUUGUUUCAUUGGCUGCAUGAAAUUUGUUUAUUGUUUGUGGGCUGUGUUUUCUGGUUGUUUUUAUCAGCAGUUGAUUUUUUGUUAAGAUGUGAGUCUUAUAAGGGUGAUGCAAUUUGAGAGGAUAGGGCACAGUGCCAGCAUCUGCGGUUAAUCUGUUUUCUUUGCUUUUGUGUGAAUUGUGUUUAUUUAUUUAUGUGCAACGUUAGGUUAAAUUUUUUUGUGAUAGUGUUGAGUAAAUAAGUUUUGUGAUGACAGGGAUUAGAUACCCCAUUAAUGUAUUUUGUAAGUUUGUUCUAGUUUUGUAACUAAAAGGGUUUGGCAGUGAGCGAUUCUUGUUAGGGGAAGACGCAUAGUAAAGGAUGGUCCACCUAUUAGUUUACUCUUAUUAUGUUGGUGUGUAUCUGGUUUAAUAUUAUUGUUGAAUGAUUUAAGUUUGUGUAGUUUUAGUUAAGCUAAGUCUAUGUGCUGCUUAUGGGAGUUUUUGUGUGUUACAUUAAUAAGGGUGUUGUUGUAAGAUGGUAUGAUUUAGGACUUAAUAGUAAUGUUUAAAUUAGUUUGUUGAUGUGAAUAGAGUUUAGGUCAGGUACACACCGCCCGUCACCCUGGGUUGUUAUUGAGGUAAGUCGUAACAAGGUAACUUUAAAUGAAUUUGAAGUUAAUU